RNAcentral lists this ribosomal RNA (1479 nucleotides) under Klebsiella pneumoniae. Its description in RNAcentral is "bacterial SSU rRNA". It matches the Rfam family "Bacterial small subunit ribosomal RNA". Lineage: Bacteria; Pseudomonadati; Pseudomonadota; Gammaproteobacteria; Enterobacterales; Enterobacteriaceae. The record is from RNAcentral.
CUGGCUCAGAUUGAACGCUGGCGGCAGGCCUAACACAUGCAAGUCGAGCGGUAGCACAGAGAGCUUGCUCUCGGGUGACGAGCGGCGGACGGGUGAGUAAUGUCUGGGAAACUGCCUGAUGGAGGGGGAUAACUACUGGAAACGGUAGCUAAUACCGCAUAAUGUCGCAAGACCAAAGUGGGGGACCUUCGGGCCUCAUGCCAUCAGAUGUGCCCAGAUGGGAUUAGCUAGUAGGUGGGGUAACGGCUCACCUAGGCGACGAUCCCUAGCUGGUCUGAGAGGAUGACCAGCCACACUGGAACUGAGACACGGUCCAGACUCCUACGGGAGGCAGCAGUGGGGAAUAUUGCACAAUGGGCGCAAGCCUGAUGCAGCCAUGCCGCGUGUGUGAAGAAGGCCUUCGGGUUGUAAAGCACUUUCAGCGGGGAGGAAGGCGUUAAGGUUAAUAACCUUGGCGAUUGACGUUACCCGCAGAAGAAGCACCGGCUAACUCCGUGCCAGCAGCCGCGGUAAUACGGAGGGUGCAAGCGUUAAUCGGAAUUACUGGGCGUAAAGCGCACGCAGGCGGUCUGUCAAGUCGGAUGUGAAAUCCCCGGGCUCAACCUGGGAACUGCAUUCGAAACUGGCAGGCUAGAGUCUUGUAGAGGGGGGUAGAAUUCCAGGUGUAGCGGUGAAAUGCGUAGAGAUCUGGAGGAAUACCGGUGGCGAAGGCGGCCCCCUGGACAAAGACUGACGCUCAGGUGCGAAAGCGUGGGGAGCAAACAGGAUUAGAUACCCUGGUAGUCCACGCCGUAAACGAUGUCGAUUUGGAGGUUGUGCCCUUGAGGCGUGGCUUCCGGAGCUAACGCGUUAAAUCGACCGCCUGGGGAGUACGGCCGCAAGGUUAAAACUCAAAUGAAUUGACGGGGGCCCGCACAAGCGGUGGAGCAUGUGGUUUAAUUCGAUGCAACGCGAAGAACCUUACCUGGUCUUGACAUCCACAGAACUUUCCAGAGAUGGAUUGGUGCCUUCGGGAACUGUGAGACAGGUGCUGCAUGGCUGUCGUCAGCUCGUGUUGUGAAAUGUUGGGUUAAGUCCCGCAACGAGCGCAACCCUUAUCCUUUGUUGCCAGCGGUUCGGCCGGGAACUCAAAGGAGACUGCCAGUGAUAAACUGGAGGAAGGUGGGGAUGACGUCAAGUCAUCAUGGCCCUUACGACCAGGGCUACACACGUGCUACAAUGGCAUAUACAAAGAGAAGCGACCUCGCGAGAGCAAGCGGACCUCAUAAAGUAUGUCGUAGUCCGGAUUGGAGUCUGCAACUCGACUCCAUGAAGUCGGAAUCGCUAGUAAUCGUAGAUCAGAAUGCUACGGUGAAUACGUUCCCGGGCCUUGUACACACCGCCCGUCACACCAUGGGAGUGGGUUGCAAAAGAAGUAGGUAGCUUAACCUUCGGGAGGGCGCUUACCACUUUGUGAUUCAUGACUGGGGUGAAGUCGUA